RNAcentral lists this ribosomal RNA (461 nucleotides) under uncultured bacterium. RNAcentral's name for it is "bacterial SSU rRNA". It matches the Rfam family "Bacterial small subunit ribosomal RNA", at positions 339 to 792 of the family's 1533-position model. The record is from RNAcentral.
GUACGGGAGGCAGCAGUUAGGAAUCUUGGGCAAUGGGCGCAAGCCUGACCCAGCCAUGCCGCGUGUGUGAAGAAGGCCUUCGGGUUGUAAAGCACUUUCAGCGGUGGAGAAAAGCUCAGGGCUAACAUCCUUGAGUCUUGACGUUAACCACAGAAGAAGCACCGGCUAACUCCGUGCCAGCAGCCGCGGUAAUACGGAGGGUGCGAACGUUAAUCGGAAUCACUGGGCGUAAAGCGCGCGUAGGCGGUCUGUUAAGUGGGAUGUGAAAUCCCCGGGCUUAACCUGGGAAUUGCAUUUCAAACUGGCAGACUAGAGUGCGGUAGAGGGAGGUAGAAUUUCCUGUGUAGCGGUGAAAUGCGUAGAUAUAGGAAGGAAUACCAGUGGCGAAGGCGGCCUCCUGGAUCGACACUGACGCUGAGGCGCGAAAGCGUGGGGAGCAAACAGGAUUAGAUACCCCGGUA